GCGCAGCAGUCGCGAAACUUUACAAUGUGCGAAAGCACGAUAAGGGAACUCUGAGUGCCUCCUAAGGAGGCUGUUCGGGUGUCUAAAAAGCACCUGAAGGAAGGGCUGGGUAAGACCGGUGCCAGCCGCCGCGGUAACACCGGCAGCCCAAGUGGUAGCCACGUUUAUUGGGUCUAAAGCGUCCGUAGCCGGCUGGGUAAGUUCCUUGGGAAAUUUGGCUGCUUAACAGUCAAGCUUUCAGGGAAUACUGCCCGGCUUGGGACCGGGAGAGGUCAGAGGUACUCCAGGGGUAGGGGUGAAAAUCCAUUAAUCCUUGGGGGGACCACCGGGUAGCGAAGGCGUCUGACCCAGACCGGGUCCGACGGUGAGGGACGAAGGCUA
This 381-nucleotide ribosomal RNA is filed under the name uncultured microorganism. RNAcentral's name for it is "bacterial SSU rRNA". It matches the Rfam family "Archaeal small subunit ribosomal RNA", at positions 330 to 713 of the family's 1478-position model. The record is from RNAcentral.